This is a long non-coding RNA of Corapipo altera (White-ruffed manakin), 540 nucleotides long. RefSeq lists it as uncharacterized. The transcript has 3 exons. NCBI's taxonomy places the organism in Eukaryota, Metazoa, Chordata, Aves, Passeriformes, Pipridae. The record is from RefSeq and is a predicted model, not a curated record.
CGCUUCCUUUGGGAUUCAAGCAGACAGGAGACACUUGAGAGAGUCCUUGACCUUCAUGGGUCCCUUAUGAAUCAUUAACCUGGAAGAUGGAUCCUGCAGCCUGGCAGGGCAGCUCUUGGGUUUCAUUUCUGUGUCUCCACCUCAGCUGCUGUUCCACCCUUUCCUCAGCACUGUGACAUCCCUGCACGUGGAGGCAGUGCAGCAAAGGGCAGUAUUCCCAUCAUCUGCUCAGCUUUACAGUCCCUGCCCUUUACCCUCGCACAUGGACACAGUGUGAGGAUAAUGGAGACACACAAUUCUGCCUUCUUGCUCCAGAACCUGCAGGUCUGCUAAAGCUCCCGGACCAUCAGGUGGAGUUGUGGUUACAAACGAGGACCCCCAGUUUGGAAGGUCUGACUGAACAGUGAGUGGUGCCUGGACAUGAAAUCAUUUGGGGCUGCACAGAAGAGGGAUAGAAGAAGAAGCCGAGAAAAAUGAGAUAAGAAACACAGAGACAAGGAUAGCAAUGUGGAUCAUUCCAGCAGCAAGAUUAAUAAUGAA